UACAGAGGGGGCAAGCGUUAUUCGGAAUUACUGGGCGUACAGCGCGCGCAGGCGGUUGCCGACGUGCCGUGUGACAAACGGGGGCUCAACCCCCGAGGGCCACGGUAAACGGGGCGACUGGAGGUAGGGAGAGGGAUGUGGAAUGCCCGGUGGAGCGGUGAAAUGCGUAGAGAUCCGGAAGAACAUCGGUGGCGAAGGCGGCCUGCUGGGCAGUAGCUGACGCUGAGGCGCGACAGCGUGGGGAGCAAACAGG
RNAcentral lists this ribosomal RNA (253 nucleotides) under uncultured bacterium. RNAcentral's name for it is "partial 16S ribosomal RNA". It matches the Rfam family "Bacterial small subunit ribosomal RNA", at positions 524 to 776 of the family's 1533-position model. The record is from RNAcentral.